GCAGAGAGAAGCUGGAGGAGUGGAAGGCAGCGGAGGAGGAGCGGUGGCUGGAGAAGGUUGUGGAGGAGUUUCUGAAGAAGCAGAUGAAGAAAGGUAAGAAGGUUGCUGGCGAUGGAGAAGCUCACAAGUAUGUAGCCAAGUAUAGGGAAGAGUCUGAGCGCUGUGUCACCGAGGUUGCAGAGUCUGUGAAGGAGGCUUUGAAGUCUCUCAAUGGUAAGAGAAAGGGUUCUGAAGCUGCACUGGAGAAAGCUGAUUCCAAGAAGUUGAAGAUAUGGUUGGAGCAAUGAGCAUCUCAGUAUUGCGAAGUGUGUGGCAAAUGUUCUGGCUAUGCGAGAACUGGGAUGGCGAAGUUAGUGUCUGCAAUCAACUUGCUAAUAGCCUUAUGCAAUUGGAAGACAGGUUUGAUGAUUUCAUUCAAAAGUUGAAAGAAGCUGGAUGCAACUUGCUCUUAGUGUGAUUGAAGCACCCACUGGCAAUGAGGAAGAUAAUGACCUUGAAUUUGAAAACUUGUCCUGGAAUGGAUCAGAUAUGGCUUCUAUGGGUUAAAGAAAACUUGCAAGAGUCUUGGUCUUUGGUUAAGAAUCACCUUCUUCCUCCUACUCCAUAUUAAUCAACCACACGAGAAUACUCCUUUUUCAGCAAUAUAAUCAUGAUUCAUGAGUGCAUAAAAAAAUGAUCAUUUCUGUAAUUGUAGUAAGUUGUAGAUAAGCUCGAAUAACCUACAAUAUUAAAGUAAUAAUUAAAGUGUGUUCAGCACUGCUGAAACAAUGUAAAAUCAUCUAGCUAGCCCAUAUAUCCGUAUGGAUCAUUAGAUCUUAUCUUAUGUUUAGGCUGUUCUUAUCUUAAUUCUGCCUAAUUGAAAGGAAAAAAACAGUUGAGGAGGGAAAAAUUUAAAGCAUAAUCAUGUAUAAUUGAGUGGUUAGGUUCUGUUAUUGUCAAAAGAUUCUUUCCAUUUAUAUGUUGAAUAUUUUAAGACCAAUGAAAAUGUUGAGGCUUGACCUACACACAUGUUUUUGGUCUCUAAAUGCAAGUUCCAGGUUCUAUCUACUCCAAUUUU
This is a non-coding RNA of Arachis ipaensis, 1057 nucleotides long. NCBI's taxonomy places the organism in Eukaryota, Viridiplantae, Streptophyta, Magnoliopsida, Fabales, Fabaceae. The record is from RefSeq and is a predicted model, not a curated record.